Molecule: long non-coding RNA, 1315 nt
Organism: Capsicum annuum
Lineage: Eukaryota; Viridiplantae; Streptophyta; Magnoliopsida; Solanales; Solanaceae
Exons: 2
Source: RefSeq, a predicted model, not a curated record
UAAACUUCCGGAGAAAAUAUUAAAUUUACAUGAAAAAGGCAGCAUAAAGCUGCACAUAUUGGCUUGCCUGUCCACAAUAGAAAAUACAUGACAAAAGACAAACAGUUCCAACAUUGACAAUUAUUGCAUCCUAAUAAAUAGAGUAGAGUUUAUUCACGAUCAGGAAAUAGGAGAAGCAUCUGAAGGCUUGCUACGCAGGAGAGAUGAUGCUGGACGAUAGAGAUAGGAAUAAUGGGCUUACUUUAUUGGCCAGCAUCAUACUCCUGCAUAUUAAGCCUCAAAAGAUGCUAACAAAACUAAGUUAAUUACCAUGAUGGUUUAUAGAUAGUUGAGACAGAGAUCAUUUAUCUGUUUUGUUCAUAGACUAUAGUUUGCAGUUAAUUCACAUAGUUCAGCUAACAAUGUUAAUUGUUAGUUAACAGGUUCUUUCUAUUUUGGAUGCAGAUGACAGACUUGGAUCGACACUUCGCCGAACAUGGGUAUUGAAAAGCUUAACAAUUUAAUGAUUUGAUUCAUCAAAUGACAAUUGUAUGAAAAGCAAACGACCUGGACCUCCAAAGGACGUCGGCAGCUGGUAGAGAAGUUCAUUUUUUCCUCUUCAAAACACAAGAAAAUGCGGACCUAGAUCUCUAAAGGACUAGAAUACAAAACACAUAAGCUUCAAAUCCUAACUCCGUCUUUACGGUCAGAGUAGAACUGGGCAGAGAGUUUCAAGUAUAAGGUGAGGUUGAUUCAUCUAAGAAAAGAGUUUCAACAACAUAAAUAUCACAAGCCAACUAUAAAUAAGCAAGCAAGAAGGAUAAACCAGAGAAGGCGCAAAAUAGGCAAACAUACUUGGUAUCUCAAGGAAUAUUGUGUAAGAAGAUAUAAGGAAAUAGGAACUAUCAUAUCCAACCACAGCUGCAGAAUUUGUUAUUUUCCUUUUGCAAGUGUAACUGAUCAUCAUCAUUUCUUUCUUUUUUGGAUUUCAGCAAGUUCAGUUCCAAGUUUCUAUGGCUUCUGUCCUGAAGCAUAUUAUCAAAUUGUUUAGGACAGUGAAGUAUAUGGAAGUUCAGAUGAAGGCACUGAGAACAGAGGAUUCUACUGACAAUGCAUCCCCUGAGCAAAAAAUAAAGAUAGUUCAAGAAAAUUUAAUCAAGUCAGAAGCAUGUCAAUUUGGGUUUGAUUUGAAUUUAUCCCAUCCAAUUGCAAGAAGUGAUUCCUCAUGUGAAACAUUUAUUUGUUUAGUUCAUUAAAAAAAUAUGAAAUUAUUGUGUCCAAACACACAUGUAUGUAUAUAUAAUCGUACAAGUAAUAUAAGAUUUUUAUGUUCGGA